CCUUUCGAAAGAAAGGUUAAUACCCGAUGGUAUCUUAAGCACGCAUGAGAUUAAGAUUAAAGAUUUAUCGGUAAGCGAUGGGGAUGCGUUCCAUUAGGCAGUUGGCGGGGUAACGGCCCACCAAACCUACGAUGGAUAGGGGUUCUGAGAGGAAGGUCCCCCACAUUGGAACUGAGACACGGUCCAAACUCCUACGGGAGGCAGCAGUGAGGAAUAUUGGUCAAUGGGCGAGAGCCUGAACCAGCCAAGUAGCGUGAAGGAUGACGGCCCUACGGGUUGUAAACUUCUUUUGUG
This 294-nucleotide ribosomal RNA is filed under the name uncultured bacterium. Its description in RNAcentral is "partial 16S ribosomal RNA". It matches the Rfam family "Bacterial small subunit ribosomal RNA", at positions 147 to 440 of the family's 1533-position model. The record is from RNAcentral.